UGGUCAGUAGCUCAGUCGGCAGAGCAAGUGGCUGUUAACCACUGGGUCGGGGGUUCAAAUCCCUCCUGACCAG
Molecule: transfer RNA, 73 nt
Filed under: Fibrobacter sp.
Lineage: Bacteria; Pseudomonadati; Fibrobacterota; Fibrobacteria; Fibrobacterales; Fibrobacteraceae
Description: tRNA-Asn
Rfam family: tRNA
About the family: Transfer RNA (tRNA) molecules are approximately 80 nucleotides in length.
Source: RNAcentral